RNAcentral lists this ribosomal RNA (468 nucleotides) under uncultured bacterium. RNAcentral's name for it is "partial 16S ribosomal RNA". It matches the Rfam family "Bacterial small subunit ribosomal RNA", at positions 28 to 507 of the family's 1533-position model. The record is from RNAcentral.
GACGAACGCUGGCGGCGUGCUUAACACAUGCCAGUCGAACGGAAAGGCCCUGCUUUUGUGGGGUGCUCGAGUGGCGAACGGGUGAGUAACACGUGAGUAACCUGCCCUUGACUUUGGGAUAACUUCAGGAAACUGGGGCUAAUACCGGAUAGGAUCUCCUGCUGCAUGGUGGGGGUUGGAAAGUUUCGGCGGUUGGGGAUGGACUCGCAGCUUAUCAGCUUGUUGGUGGGGUAGUGGCUUACCAAGGCUUUGACGGGUAGCCGGCCUGAGAGGGUGACAGGCCACAUUGGGACUGAGAUACGGCCCAGACUCCUAAGGGAGGCAGCAGUGGGGAAUAUUGCACAAUGGGCGGAAGCCUGAUGAAGCAACGCCGCGUGCGGGAUGACGGCCUUCGGGUUGUAAACCGCUUUCGCCUGUGACGAAGCGUGAGUGACGGUAAUGGGUAAAGAAGCACCGGCUAACUACGUG